CCCCAGCGCCACAAGUGGUUAUCACGAUUAUUGGGCCUAAAGCGUUCGUAGCUGGUUUGGUAAAUCUCUUGUGAAAUUGUUCGGCUUAACCGGACAGCGUGCAGGAGAGACUGCCAAGCUCGAGACCGGGAGGGGUUAGAAGUAUUCCAUGGGGACUGGUAAAAUGGGAUAAUCCAUGGAAGACUACCGAUGGCGAAGGCAUCUAACCAGAACGGAUCUGACAGUGAGGAACGAAAGCCAGGGGAGCGAACCGG
RNAcentral lists this ribosomal RNA (254 nucleotides) under uncultured bacterium. RNAcentral's name for it is "partial 16S ribosomal RNA". It matches the Rfam family "Archaeal small subunit ribosomal RNA", at positions 474 to 727 of the family's 1478-position model. The record is from RNAcentral.